This 68-nucleotide transfer RNA is filed under the name Nycticryphes semicollaris. Its description in RNAcentral is "tRNA-Pro". Lineage: Eukaryota; Metazoa; Chordata; Aves; Charadriiformes; Rostratulidae. The record is from RNAcentral.
UCAGAGAAAGUUUGAUACGGACGCCAACUUUGGAAUGUUGGGGGUAAGGGUUUAAGUCCUUUUCUGAA